Molecule: non-coding RNA, 484 nt
Organism: Pantherophis guttatus
Lineage: Eukaryota; Metazoa; Chordata; Lepidosauria; Squamata; Colubridae
Source: RefSeq, a predicted model, not a curated record
CAGCCAGCUCAGCUGACAAGUAAACAAACAGCUUGAAAAUUACUGCACUCUGGUAUUGCCCCUAGCACACACUUCUGCCUGGGUGGUCAGCUGGGUCAGUAGGAGAUAUGUUCCCUCUUCACUUCCUAACAUUAAAAGACUGAUGAAGAGUUUCAAAGCACCAACAACAAUCUGCCCAAUUACAGAGCUGAAUGCCUCAAGGCAAGGAGGUGAAACCAGGCAGGAAGAAAGCAAAGGAAAGUGCCCGGUGCACCUCACGUGGUAUAUAAAAAUCUCAAGCCUUCUCGUCCAUCGAAGGAAAGCCAAGUGAUGAAGAAAAUGGAUGCUACAGUGAUAGGUCAACUGAGAGAGCCCUUUGAACAAUUAUAUCUGAGCACAGAAGACAUACGCUACAAAGGGAAACAUUCUUGGUCUGCCUUGGAGCUACGAAGCACCUUUUUCCUUGAUAUUCUGAACAUUGACGCAAUACAAUAAUUUGCAUGUA